UGUGUGUCUCAGAGCAAGGGCGUGUGAUAGAAAAGUUCUCACCACUCUGUAGUGCAACAACCAGAAAUGCUCCACUUGGAAACUGCAGAAGAAGGUUAAAUGAGAGGCCGUGCGGCAGAGCAGAGGGACUGAGUUGGAGAGUGCUGACAGGCUCAUCAGUCUUUAUACAUCCAGAACGGAAGCAAAUUGGCAGAGCAGAGCACCAGAGUCCUUCCCAUUCAGAA
This 224-nucleotide long non-coding RNA is filed under the name Apteryx rowi (Okarito brown kiwi). RNAcentral's name for it is "lncRNA (ENSARWG00000016241.1)". Lineage: Eukaryota; Metazoa; Chordata; Aves; Apterygiformes; Apterygidae. The record is from RNAcentral.